AACUCUUCAGUUCUCAUGGUGCAUUUCUUUUGUUUCUGCAUUACACUCAGUUUGUUAGUUGCUGCAGAUGUGUAAGGUUUCGCAUCCGUGCAGGCUCUCUCUACCUCGUGCUUCAUCAGGAGAGCAUAGGCCUUAUUUCUUUGUACUAUGUAAUAAAGAACCAGUGUAUAAAAUUACUUGAAAAACAUCUUUUGAAGCUGGAAAUGGUGGCCCAUGCCUAUAAUCUCAUUGCUAUUGAGAUGGGAGUAGGGGGAUGAGAAGUUCAAAGCUAGCUUCAGGUACAUAGCAAGUUCAAGUUCCAACUUGGGCUACAUGAGAUCCUGUAUUCAAAAACACAAAGUUGAAAACAAUCAAAGAAACAAAACACCUCACUUUAGGUUGAUUGGAGGUCAAGUCUGAAACGAUUUGAUGAGUAGAGGAGCCCAUGGUGAUAGGAGUCACGUUUUAUCUCUCAGGGUCUUCUCUACUGGGUUGUAUUCCCUCCUUGUGUUCCCCGAUUAUCCCUGUUCAUUGCGCUAGGGGCUUUAAUGUUGGUGUAGGCUGGUAAUUUUUAUUCUUUCUGCUCUCCUUUCCAGUGUGGUAGAAGGACUCACAUAUAGGCUGGAGAGUGGGUUUUCCUUAUGUUUACUGGAAGAGUUGGUGCAGAACUGACUCAAGGAACUUUGAAGUUUCCAUUCAGCUUUUUGAAAGACCAUAUUCUUUUGUUCUGUGAGAACAGAAUUUUAUGAACUAGUUUUGGUGAAUUAAAUUCUAUUUUUUAAAAAUUGGUGUUUUGUUGAAUACAUUUUUUAAAUUCCUGGCAUUUACUGUUCUCUUGUUAUUUCUGCUGAACAUAUAGUUUAUUACCUUUUAGCAAUAAACCUUUGCAAUUUUUUUUUUUUGAAAAAGGGUUUCAUGUAGCCCAGGCUAACCUUGAACUCCUGGCCUUUUGGCUCUAUCUCCAAAGUGCUGAAAUUCUAGGUGUGGAACAUUACACCUGCCAUGUAGAGAUAUCUAAGCCAUUUAAUGUCUUUACUUUCUCAUUAUAUCAUGCAAAGAAUGUCUAUUCAUUGUGUUCCUAUAUUAUCUAUGCUUAAAUCUGUUUUAAAUGUAUACAGACAUACAGUUAAUAAUAUAAUAUAGUUUUGUAUUUCCAUGAACGCACGCUUUUGUCUUUUUUCAUUGUUUAUGCAUCUAUCCUAAAUCUCCUGGUCUAGUUCCCGUUUCCUAAGUGUGUUCUUUGAUGAAGUACAAUAAGGUGGGGUUUGUUGUUGUUGUUGUUGUUUUGUAUGAAAUAUUAUGCUUAUUUUGAAGGAACUUUAAAUAGCCAGUAGGCUAUCAUCUUAUUGCAUUGUUCAAAAGCAGACUUACUAAGACAAAUUUAAUAUGCAAUUUUUCUCAUCAAAUGCCAGUCAGUACAUAGUUUGGAAUGUCUCUAAGGCUGUUUAUUUUAUAUGUUUAUUUAGUUGAUCAAGAGCACCUUGUAGAAUAUGCAGAAUCUUUUCUUGAUUACAAGUCCUCUCCCUCCUUUUUUCUCUUACUCCCCUCAUUUCCAUAGUUUGAUUUUCAGAAGAUUUUUUUGUCCUUGCCCUGGCUGGCUUUGAACUCUCUACUCGGCUGAGGGUGGCCUUGAACUCCUCCUUAUCUUGCUGCCUCAGCCUCUGGGUUGGCCAGCCUCUGAUAAGAAGCCCAGUUGAUGUUUCUUUCAGUUUUUCUGUUUUGUUUUGUUGUUGUUUUGUUUUGUUUGUUCACUUUUUUUUCUGAGUCAGGGUCUUACUGUGUAGCCCUGGCUGUCCUGGAACUCACUCUGUAGACCAGGUUGGCCUCGAACUCAGAGUCCACUUCCUCUGCCUCCAGAGGGCUGGGAUUAAAUAUUGGCUUGCGUUGUAGUUUUUCCUUUUCCCCCAUGGUUAUUCUAGUGCUUCCAAGUAGUUGUCCAUUAACUACUUCUAUUAAGUUUCUAGUAGUUGCUCAUUAACUAUUUUCCCAACUUUAUGAUCUCAAAACAAUAUAGUUAUAGUCAUCCUUGGUAUUAAAAGCCCUACAGGGCAUUUGGGCAGCAAUCCCCCCAAAAGCCUCUUUUCUUUGAAAAUUACCAAGUCAAUUAAGAAAAGAAAUUGUUACAUUCUGGGAUUUUAGCCAGCUUUCCAUUUUUGUGAAUGGAAAUGAAUGCAUGAUCAAUGUAACUAGAAACACAAAUGUGAUCUGGGAGCUUGGCUUUGCCCUGGGGUGGGAUUGUGUCUCUCGGAGAUCUUGUUGCACAAGCCCAUGCAGAACGUUUCAGCAUUCAUAUGCUUAUUUCCAUGAUCACAACAAAUUAACAACAACAAUUUGAACAAGAUGCACGUAUCCUCGUAGUGAGCAGUUUAUGUGCACCUGCCAUAGGUGAAGAACUCACCUGGGACCUGAAAACAAAGACAUGAAUGGAACAUUAAUUCUGUAAGAAAGAGGUGAAUGAGAAAAGGCUUGCGGUAAUUGUUAAUACUGUGAUAUCACAGAACCCGAGAGGCAAAGACAUUGAGGUAGGGGCCUGGAUGAGCGGACCCAUCCUGCAUGAAAAGUCCUAAGAGCUGACAAAGCACAAAGUGUACUGACUAUCUCCUGAGCUCUGGGCCAGUAUUGGAUGCACACAGACUCUACCAUCUGUGACAUUGGUUCCUAUACCAAGUAGUUACUAAGUCUUUUCUUCAAUCCAUACUUUUGGCUGGUCAAUGAUUAAUGUUAAUAAGGAUCUAAUAUUAAUAGCCUAAGCACUAAGCCAAUAUCUACUCUAAAAGUGAGUCUUAUCUGCUUAUAAAAUUUCUACAUAGAAAUUAUAUCAGGCCUAUAGAAUGGAUAGGUGCUCUGUCAGAAAGAAUUGGCUGAAAAAAGAAAAAUAAAGAUUAAAAGUGCUUUUCCUAAGGCUGAACAGGAUGGCAUGUGCUUUUAAUCCCAGCGCUCUAGAAGCAGAGACAGGAGUCUCUCCUGUGAGGUCAAGGCCAGUGUGGUUUACCUAGUAAGUUCUAGGCCAGCCAGGACCUCAAAGUUAGACAAUUGAGGUCACUCUUAGCUAUUAGAGUGAGUUCUAGACUACUCUACCCUGGUGUAGCAGGUACAAAGAAUAAUACCAAUUCUUUCUAACUUCAAGGAAACAGUGUUUAAUAAAAGUAUUAAAUACAAAAAUAGAAAUUAAUAAUGUGUCAUUAUGAAUAAUGAAAGUAUAAGUUAAGAGAAUCUAAUCUCAUUUCUGUUUGCUCACUGAUACUCUCUUCCUAAAAUGCCAGCUUCCACCGUUCACCCACAACUCUCCAAGAAUAUUCUUUUCUCUCUAUUUAGCAGAAUCACUGACCUUCAAAAUUCUCUCUUCCUGACAACACAGUUCUCCGGGGAUGAUGUCAGUAAGAGUUUCAGGGUUGUAUUCAGAACGCAGCAACUUUAAACAACAGGAUCAUUGAGUUUAGUGGACCAGUAGCUAGCCUAAAGUUCAGGCUGGCUCACAGCUUGUUGUCAUGGGAGGUAGGUGUAAGAUGCUAACUGUUCCUCCUCCCACAGCUGCAGCUGAGGGAUGGCAUCUCCACAACUGACAGAUAUCUUCCACACUAUGAUGGCUCUCAAUGAAGGAUGCGAACAAAGGCUCUACUGGUUCUUUUAUUAUAAAUAUUUAGAAUACAACUAAUUUUCUUCUAUAUCAGUUGGUGAGCUUGACUCUCCUAUGUUUUUUUUAAUAUUUAGGAAAUAUUUUCUGUUUUAUAUAUAAAUACCCUCAGCAUUAGGUUAGUUUAAGGAAUGGAGGAAUUUUAUCUGAUAUUUGAAUUGCAUACAGAAUUUGAGCCUAUGUUGAUUAGACUUAGUAUUUCUUUUUAAGAUAAACAUCUUCUCAGGUCUUUGAGCCUAGCAGAAUUCAUGUUCCUUUUGUCUCUCGUUAUAGCUGUCUCUUUCAUUUUUUCUGACAGAAGUGUAGAGAUCUGACUAAUAGUAAAAAUGUCUGGUUGGCCAGGCAGUGGGCAAUGGUGGCAUAAACCUUUAAUCUGCCUUUAAUCCCAGCACUAGGGAGGUAGAGGCAAGCAUGUCUCUGUGAGUUUGAGGCCAGCCUGGUCUACAGAGUGAGUUCUAGGACAGCCAUGGCUACCCAGAAAAGCCAUGUCUUGAAAAAAAAAAGAAGAAGAAGAAGAAGAAGAAAGAAAAAGAAAG
This 4149-nucleotide long non-coding RNA is filed under the name Mus musculus (house mouse). Its description in RNAcentral is "long non-coding RNA chr6:4942146-4946295". Lineage: Eukaryota; Metazoa; Chordata; Mammalia; Rodentia; Muridae. The record is from RNAcentral.